RNAcentral lists this ribosomal RNA (405 nucleotides) under uncultured bacterium. RNAcentral describes it as "partial 16S ribosomal RNA". It matches the Rfam family "Bacterial small subunit ribosomal RNA", at positions 28 to 526 of the family's 1533-position model. The record is from RNAcentral.
GACGAACGCUGGCGGCGUGCUUAACACAUGCAAGUCGAACGAGUGGCGAACGGGUGAGUAACACGUGGGUGAUCUGCCUUGCGCGUCGGGAUAAGCCUGGGAAACGGGGUCUAAUACCCGAUAGUGCAAGAUGAGCGGGGGGGGUAUCAGCUUGUUGGUGGGGUAAUGGCUACCAAGGCGCGACGGGUAGCCGGCCUGAGAGGGUGUACGGCGACAUUGGGACUGAGAGAGGGACCAGACGCCAACGGGGGGCAGCAGGGGGGAAUAUUGCGCAAUGGGGGGAAGUCUGAUGAGGCGACGCCGGGUGGGUGAUGAAGGCCUUGGGGUUGUAAACUCCUUUCGACAGGGAAGCGGUACCUGUAUAAGAAGCACCGGCUAACUACGUGCCAGCAGCCGCGGUAAUAC